AUGGGGAUCAGUAUAAACGCCUCCCUCUCAACAAGGUGGAUCAAUAACAGCGUCUCUCUGUCAGACGCAUUCUCCAACUACGGGGACGGUACAACAGUACGCCCCACCGUCCUCCAUUCAACAAUGGUUGCUGGGCGCUUUCAAGGGUUGUCUUUUGGCGCAGGGUUCUUCUGCACCUCCCCCUGUGACGUCUUCAUCUUUUCCGUCUUCAUUAUAACCAGUGUCGGGAUCUAUGGCAAUGACACUGGAUUUCGGAUUAUCCCGUCAGGGCCACAUGUUGUCUGGUCAGCCAACAGGGAUACUCCUGUCAGGGAGAACGCCACCAUUGAGCUUACUAGGCAUGGCGACCUGGUACUCCGUGAUGCCGAUGGGAGGACGCUUUGGUCAAGUGGCACUUCUGGCAAAUCCGUGGAUGGCAUGGAGAUCAUGAAGCACGGCAACCUGGUGAUGUUUGAUCAGAAGAAUGCCAUUGUGUGGCAGUCAUUGGACCAUCCAACUGAUUCAUUGGUCCCUGGGCAAUCACUUAUGGAAGGUAUGAGGCUCACAGCUACAAAAUCGACUAAGAAUCAGUUUUAUAUUACUGUACUCCGAGAUGGAUUAUACGGUUAUGUCAAAUCCACACCACCACAACUUUACUUCUCAUAUCCAUCGGUGAAAAGUAGUAAGACUGUAAGUGAUCCAACAAAUGUUACAUUCCAGAAUGGCGAGCUUAGAAUCAUUUUAGACGCACCAAAAAAACCUUAUCAUGACUCGUCAACACAGAGUACCGUUAUCUACUUCGGUAUUGUUGAUUAUCUCAAGCUGCCAUCAUCCCAGUUCAGCCAGUAUAUGAGAUUAGAGUAUGAUGGGUGCCUAAGGCUGCAUCAAUGGUCUGAUAAUGAAAAUCAGUGGACUACGUCUGAUGUAAUGGAAAUCUCUCGUCAUUGUGAUGAGCAAUUAUCAUGCUUUGGGAAGAGGGAGUACAGGAUCUCGGGUGAUUGUGCUUACCCAACAGUGUGCGGGGACUACGGGAUAUGCACAAAUGGGCAGUGCAGCUGUUCUCAUGAGAGUACUAAUUUGAACUACUUCAAACCUGCUUGA
This 1080-nucleotide ribosomal RNA is filed under the name Triticum aestivum (bread wheat). Its description in RNAcentral is "partial small subunit ribosomal RNA". Lineage: Eukaryota; Viridiplantae; Streptophyta; Magnoliopsida; Poales; Poaceae. The record is from RNAcentral.